AGAGGUUGCAGGUUUGAAGCCAUAGCAGAUGCGCUUAUGGUGCAGCCUGUCAGAUUCCAGUGAAAUCUGUGAAUUCUGCU
RNAcentral lists this ribozyme (80 nucleotides) under Crocodylus porosus (Australian saltwater crocodile). RNAcentral describes it as "Mammalian CPEB3 ribozyme (ENSCPRG00005012222.1)". It matches the Rfam family "Mammalian CPEB3 ribozyme". Rfam says of the family: The mammalian CPEB3 ribozyme is a self cleaving RNA located in the second intron of the CPEB3 gene which belongs to a family of genes regulating messenger RNA polyadenylation. This ribozyme is highly conserved and found only in mammals. The record is from Rfam by way of RNAcentral. Lineage: Eukaryota; Metazoa; Chordata; Crocodylia; Crocodylidae.